This 290-nucleotide small RNA is filed under the name Paramagnetospirillum marisnigri. Its description in RNAcentral is "Magnetospirillum marisnigri 5' ureB small RNA". It matches the Rfam family "5' ureB small RNA". Lineage: Bacteria; Pseudomonadati; Pseudomonadota; Alphaproteobacteria; Rhodospirillales; Magnetospirillaceae. The record is from Rfam by way of RNAcentral.
CAUCCUCGGCCUGUUGCGGGCAGAUGAAAUGGAUGUGGGAGUCGAUGCCGCCCGCGGUGACGAUGCGGCCCUCGCCCGCGAUGACCUCGGUACCGGGGCCGAUGACGAUGUCGAUGCCUGACUGGAUGUCGGGAUUACCGGCCUUGCCGAUGGCGCUGAUGCGCCCGUCCUUCAGCCCGAUAUCGGCCUUGACCACCCCCCAAUGGUCCAGGAUCACCGCAUUGGUGAUCACCGUGUCCACCGCCCCUUGGGCGCGGGAGCGCUGCGACUGGCCCUGGCCGUCGCGGAUG